UGAAACUCAAAGGAAUUGACGGGGGCCCGCACAAGCGGUGGAGCAUGUGGUUCAAUUCGACGCAACGCGAAGAACCUUACCCAGGCUUGAACUGCAGGUGACAUCCUACGAAAGUAGGCUUCCGCAAGGACACCUGUAGAGGUGCUGCAUGGCUGUCGUCAGCUCGUGUCGUGAGAUGUUGGGUUAAGUCCCGCAACGAGCGCAACCCUUGUCUUCUGUUGCCAUCGGGUUAUGCCGGGCACUCUGAAGAGACUGCCGGUGACAAACCGGAGGAAGGUGGGGAUGACGUCAAGUCAGCAUGGCCUUUAUGUCUGGGGCCACACACGUGCUACAAUGGCCGGUACAAACCGUCGCGAUCUCGCGAGAGGGAGCUAAUCGGAGAAAGCCGGUCUCAGUUCGGAUUGUAGGCUGCAACUCGCCUGCAUGAAGUUGGAAUCGCUAGUAAUCGCGGAUCAGCACGCCGCGGUGAAUACGUUCCCGGGCCUUGUAGACACCGCCCGUCACAUCACGAAAGCCGGCUGUACUAAGGGGCGCUGCGCUAACCCGCAAGGGGGGCAAGCGCCUAAGGUAUG
This 572-nucleotide ribosomal RNA is filed under the name uncultured Acidobacteriota bacterium. Its description in RNAcentral is "bacterial SSU rRNA". It matches the Rfam family "Bacterial small subunit ribosomal RNA", at positions 895 to 1466 of the family's 1533-position model. Lineage: Bacteria; Pseudomonadati; Acidobacteriota. The record is from RNAcentral.